Molecule: ribosomal RNA, 434 nt
Filed under: uncultured Enterobacter sp.
Lineage: Bacteria; Pseudomonadati; Pseudomonadota; Gammaproteobacteria; Enterobacterales; Enterobacteriaceae
Description: bacterial SSU rRNA
Rfam family: Bacterial small subunit ribosomal RNA
Source: RNAcentral
AACGCGAAGAACCUUACCUACUCUUGACAUCCAGAGAACUUAGCAGAGAUGCUUUGGUGCCUUCGGGAACUCUGAGACAGGUGCUGCAUGGCUGUCGUCAGCUCGUGUUGUGAAAUGUUGGGUUAAGUCCCGCAACGAGCGCAACCCUUAUCCUUUGUUGCCAGCGGUCCGGCCGGGAACUCAAAGGAGACUGCCAGUGAUAAACUGGAGGAAGGUGGGGAUGACGUCAAGUCAUCAUGGCCCUUACGAGUAGGGCUACACACGUGCUACAAUGGCGCAUACAAAGAGAAGCGACCUCGCGAGAGCAAGCGGACCUCAUAAAGUGCGUCGUAGUCCGGAUUGGAGUCUGCAACUCGACUCCAUGAAGUCGGAAUCGCUAGUAAUCGUGGAUCAGAAUGCCACGGUGAAUACGUUCCCGGGUCUUGUACACACCG